RNAcentral lists this ribosomal RNA (598 nucleotides) under Rhodotorula mucilaginosa. RNAcentral's name for it is "partial large subunit ribosomal RNA". It matches the Rfam family "Eukaryotic large subunit ribosomal RNA", at positions 45 to 659 of the family's 3401-position model. Lineage: Eukaryota; Fungi; Basidiomycota; Microbotryomycetes; Sporidiobolales; Sporidiobolaceae. The record is from RNAcentral.
CCCUAGCGGAGGAAAAGAAACUAACAAGGAUUCCCCUAGUAGCGGCGAGCGAAGCGGGAAGAGCUCAAAUUUAUAAUCUGGCACCUUCGGUGUCCGAGUUGUAAUCUCUAGAAAUGUUUUCCGCGUUGGACCGCACACAAGUCUGUUGGAAUACAGCGGCAUAGUGGUGAGACCCCCGUAUAUGGUGCGGACGCCCAGCGCUUUGUGAUACAUUUUCGAAGAGUCGAGUUGUUUGGGAAUGCAGCUCAAAUUGGGUGGUAAAUUCCAUCUAAAGCUAAAUAUUGGCGAGAGACCGAUAGCGAACAAGUACCGUGAGGGAAAGAUGAAAAGCACUUUGGAAAGAGAGUUAACAGUACGUGAAAUUGUUGGAAGGGAAACGCUUGAAGUCAGACUUGCUUGCCGAGCAAUCGGUUUGCAGGCCAGCAUCAGUUUUCCGGGAUGGAUAAUGGUAGAGAGAAGGUAGCAGUUUCGGCUGUGUUAUAGCUCUCUGCUGGAUACAUCUUGGGGGACUGAGGAACGCAGUGUGCCUUUGGCGGGGGUUUCGACCUCUUCACACUUAGGAUGCUGGUGGAAUGGCUUUAAACGACCCGUCUUAAAC